RNAcentral lists this ribosomal RNA (1095 nucleotides) under Triticum aestivum (bread wheat). Its description in RNAcentral is "partial small subunit ribosomal RNA". Lineage: Eukaryota; Viridiplantae; Streptophyta; Magnoliopsida; Poales; Poaceae. The record is from RNAcentral.
AUGUUUGCCCAACUGGAGGUCAGCAAGUAUUUGGUGGAGGAGCUCAAGGGAGAUGUAAAUGCUCCUGGAUAUGGAGCUGGUGCUGAAGGUAUGACUCCAUUUAUAGUGUCUGCUCGGUCUGGUGAUGUUGCUACCGUUAAGUAUUUUCUGGAUCGUGGUGGCGAUUUAAUGAAAGCAGACGACAAAGGACGCACCGUUCUUCACCAUGCUGCCGCUAAAGGACGCUGCAUGGUAACAAAGUUCCUCCUUUCAGAAGGAGUUCCGGUCGACAUAAACUAUGGCCGUGGAACAUCACUCUUUGUGGCUGCUGAAAGUGGGGAGGAUAAGACAUUGGAGAUUUUGUUGGACCAUGGCGCAGAUCCUAAUAUCAGUGUCCAUUGUUUGGGAAGUCCCUUCUUUAUGGCUCUUACUAAGCAUUCAUUCAAAUGCAUGGAGACGCUCGUAAAGGCUGGUGCCGAUGUUAAUUGGAAGACUUUUGGUCUCACUCCUUUGGGGUUUGCUACAGCGCGAGGAGGUUAUACUAACUUCAUUCAGUUCCUCUUGGAUGUUGGAGCAGAUGCUAAUAUUUCUGAUGAUUUGGGUUGGUUGCCAGUACAGCUUGCUGCGGCACGUGAUUGCAAUGAAGAGGUUGAAAUGUUGUUUCCUUUGACUUCCCCAAUUCCAAAUGUCCCAAACUGGACUAUUGAGGGUGUAAUUUCUCAUGCAAAGAUUGAAGCCAAAAAGCCAUUGGAUCAAAACGCUUGCCAAAGAAGAAAAAGUUUCUUAAAGUUAGAAGCUGAUAUAGCAUUCAAGCAGAAGGACUAUAAGCUGGCAUCAGAGUUGUAUGACAUGGCAAUAAGUCAUGGAGAAAGUGCAACACUGUACGCGAACAGGAGUCUUACUAAACUGCUAAUGGGUGAUGGUGAAGGUGCUUUGUCAGAUGCUCUCUGGUGUAGAGUGUUGCGACCUCAUUGGGCAAAAGCUUUCUAUCGUGAAGGUGCAGCUCUCAUGCUACUCGAGGAGUAUGAACAAGCCUAUGAUGCUCUGUUGGAUGCACAAAACUUGGAUCCUGAGAGUGCUGAGAUUGAACGUGAACUACGAAAGAACUACAUAUAG